This 490-nucleotide ribosomal RNA is filed under the name uncultured bacterium. RNAcentral's name for it is "partial 16S ribosomal RNA". It matches the Rfam family "Bacterial small subunit ribosomal RNA", at positions 28 to 507 of the family's 1533-position model. The record is from RNAcentral.
GAUGAACGCUAGCGAUAGGCUUAACACAUGCAAGUCGAGGGGCAGCAUGGUCUUAGCUUGCUAAGACUGAUGGCGACCGGCGCACGGGUGCGUAACGCGUAUGCAACUUGCCUCACAGAGGGGGAUAACCCGUCGAAAGACGGACUAAUACCGCGUACACUCCGUCUUGGGCAUCCAAGGUAGAGGAAAUGAAAUUCGCUGUGAGAUAGGCAUGCGUCCCAUUAGCUAGUUGGUGAGGUAACGGCUCACCAAGGCGACGAUGGGUAGGGGAACUGAGAGGUUGAACCCCCACACUGGUACUGAGACACGGACCAGACUCCUACGGGAGGCAGCAGUGAGGAAUAUUGGUCAAUGGGCGAGAGCCUGAACCAGCCAAGUCGCGUGAAGGAUGACUGUCUUAUGGAUUGUAAACUUCUUUUAUACGGGAAUAACAAGAGUCACGUGUGACUCCCUGCAUGUACCGUAUGAAUAAGCAUCGGCUAACUCCGUG